Molecule: long non-coding RNA, 2110 nt
Organism: Carassius auratus (goldfish)
Lineage: Eukaryota; Metazoa; Chordata; Actinopteri; Cypriniformes; Cyprinidae
Exons: 2
Source: RefSeq, a predicted model, not a curated record
GGAGCGGAGCUGCUCUCUGACAACAUCUCCAGGACACUUCGCUCCAUGUGACUAAUCACCGGUGACUUGACUCUGUCCUUGGGGCUGGGUCUGCGGCCAUUCUGCGCAGCGGCACUGGGUUGGCGGCCAUCUUGCGCAGCGGCACUGGACUGGCGGGCAUCUUGUGCAGCGGCGCUGGCUCGGCAGACUUGCGCCUCCUUUCCCCUCUCCGUCCACAAUGGUGAGACGGCGGCUCCCAUCCGUUUCUCACAAACCCAGGGUCGACGGGGGGCCAUGGUGGAGAGUGAUGCCGGACCUCCUCUCGACCACUCACUCAUGAGCUACCUCCCCUGGUCCCACGAAACAAGACAAGGCGAGUACCCACAAAACCAUUCCUCUCCCGCUCGGUGACUGGGGAGGAAAUAUGAACAGACAUACCACUGGAUCUUUUUGAUGGAGUCCUUCUGUGACGAUUGUGCACCAGAGAGUCACAGGGAGAUAAAAAGAUCCAAAUGCAGAUGUCUUUAAUAAGAGAUAAUCUAAAUCGUAGUCAACAAGCCAAGGUCAAAACCAAACAAUCAGUCCAAAACAAAACAAACAAAGGAAGGUCAGGAAAAGGGACUCGGAAUACGAGCGGACUCGGAGGACGAGCAGACAGAAAGAAUCUCGGGGGACAAGAAUGCUGGAUUCACGAAGGGGAAGGACUCCAUACACACAACAGGAAAAGACUGGUAUUUAUAGGGAGACUAAUGACAAAUAAAUUGACUGCACCUGGUGCAAUUAACAGGAGUGCAAUUACUGUGAUGACAGGACAAGACUAGAGAAAUACUAGUGCCUACGGUGAAGUGCCUAAGGGGAAGUGAGCCCACUAGUGGACACCCAGGGAAACAGAGACUAGGCAGCAUGACAGUCACCUCUGUAUUCACCUAUAUUCAUUAGAGACUAUAUUCACCAAAAUAAGGACCCAGUGACUGACUGAACAAUUAUUUGAAUACUGUGCUUUAAUAAACAGGCUGGCUUUGUAUUUGGUAUAGAGACACUGCAGACAAAAACAAUGAUUUAUGCACCAGUCAAUUUUGAGAUUUUUGUUUUGUCAUUAAGUUUUUAACUUUUUUUUCAGACCAAUGGAACGAAAACAUCCAAAAUACACCUUCAAGUGUUUCUUUCAUAGCACUUUAUCUAUUUCUGUUUUGUACAUAUCUUUAAAGGCUGCUUUCUCAAAAUGAUAAUCCCAAAUUCAAUAUCUCUGAAAAUGUAAAUAUUGUGAAAAGGUUCAAUAUUGAAGACACCUGGUGCCAAAAGCAGAAUGUAAGAAAUGCUCUAAAAUAAUGGCAUUACAGACUCUUGCUCUUCACCAGCAGCAUUUGAAGAAAAGGGAAUUUAUUUAUUGUAUGAGAUGACAUCAUUCUGACUGCUUUUAUUGUUUAUUUGACAUCAUUUAUUUUAAGUGGACAGAUGUAAAGUGUCCUGUAUGCAUGAAACUACAGCCUUAUAUUACAUUCAUUUCAGUUUGUCAGAUUGAGCCAUAACAGCUUCUGUGCAUCUUUGAUUACAAAUACAUGCAAAUAUCAGCUCGACUUCGGCCUGAUGAUUACUGUUAGAUAUUUGAGUGACAGCUGUGUGGCUCCUGUCAUAUAAAGCUGUUGUGCUCGUGGAGAAAUAACAAAGCAGAAAAGAGCAUCAUUUCAGAAGAAGAGAUGCUGAUGAAGAUGUUCUAGUGAUCAAGCAGCAGAUUGAAGCUCUGAAGCUCCUGAAAGACUGAAUUAGAGCCAGAUCAACUGUGUUCAGCAGUGAUACUGUGAGUGUUUGGACACAAUUCAUUUAGUGAAUCGAGUGUUAAAUCAGCGCAGACAGAAAAAUAAAGCAGACGAUCAGGAGACGGAUUCAUUCGGAGUCAAUUCAGCCUCUGAUCUCAAUCACAUUCAUGAUUAUUCAUACUGUCAUCAGUUCACAUCAGGAUUCAGAAACCAGUUCAGGAUCAAAUGAGUCACUCAUGGACUUUUAUUACAUUUGAUGAGCAGUUUACAAUAGAAAUAUUAAAGCACACAUAUUACUCUGUUUAUUAAAGAUUCAGAACAGUAUGAGAGUCUGAUCUAGAUUCAUAACUUCUGUAUGACGAUGAAAAACUAAU